GAAAUAGUCGGGAUAGC
This 17-nucleotide transfer RNA is filed under the name Gladiolus hybrid cultivar. RNAcentral's name for it is "partial tRNA-Phe". The record is from RNAcentral. Lineage: Eukaryota; Viridiplantae; Streptophyta; Magnoliopsida; Asparagales; Iridaceae.